ACCCGCUGAACUUAAGCAUAUCAAUAAGCGGAGGAAAAGAAACCAACAGGGAUUGCCUUAGUAACGGCGAGUGAAGCGGCAACAGCUCAAAUUUGAAAUCUGGCCCUUGGGUCCGAAUUGUAAUUUGUAGAGGAUGAUUUUGGUGCGGUAUCUUCCGAGUUCCUUGGAACAGGACGCCUUAGAGGGUGAGAGCCCCGUACGGUUGAAUGCCUAGCCUCUGUAAAUCUCCUUCGACGAGUCGAGUAGUUUGGGAAUGCUGCUCUAAAUGGGAGGUAAAUUUCUUCUAAAGCUAAAUAUUGGCCAGAGACCGAUAGCGCACAAGUAGAGUGAUCGAAAGAUGAAAAGCACUUUGAAAAGAGGGUUAAAUAGCACGUGAAAUUGUUGAAAGGGAAGGAUUUGUGACCAGACUUUUUCUGGGCGGAUCAUCCGGGGUUCUCUCCGGUGCACUUCGCCCAGUAAAGGCCAGCAUCGGUUUUCGGCGUGGGAUAAAAGCAGUAGGAAUGUGGCUCUCUACGGGGAGUGUUAUAGCCUAUUGUAUAAUACCGCGCUGGGGACCGAGGUUCGCGCUUCUGCAAGGAUGCUGGCGUAAUGGUUAUCAAUCACCCGUCUUGAAACACGGACCAAGGAGUCGAACAUUUGUGCGAGUGUUUGGGUGUUAAACCCUCACGCGUAAUGAAAGUGAACGGAGGUGAGAGCCCUUACGGGUGCAUCAUCGACCGAUCCUGAAGUUUUCGGAUGGAUUUGAGUAAGAGCAUAACUGUUCGGACCCGAAAGAUGGUGAACUAUGCGUGGAUAGGGUGAAGCCAGAGGAAACUCUGGUGGAGGCUCGCAGCGGUUCUGACGUGCAAAUCGAUCGUCAAA
RNAcentral lists this ribosomal RNA (861 nucleotides) under fungal sp. mh2110.1. RNAcentral describes it as "eukaryotic LSU rRNA". It matches the Rfam family "Eukaryotic large subunit ribosomal RNA", at positions 23 to 909 of the family's 3401-position model. The record is from RNAcentral. Lineage: Eukaryota; Fungi.